Molecule: transfer RNA, 75 nt
Filed under: [Butyribacterium] methylotrophicum
Lineage: Bacteria; Bacillati; Bacillota; Clostridia; Eubacteriales; Clostridiaceae
Also listed under: 7 other names
Description: tRNA-Gly
Rfam family: tRNA
About the family: Transfer RNA (tRNA) molecules are approximately 80 nucleotides in length. Their secondary structure includes four short double-helical elements and three loops (D, anti-codon, and T loops).
Source: RNAcentral
GCGGAAGUGGCUCAGUGGUAGAGCACUGGCUUCCCAAGCCGGGGACCGCGGGUUCGAAUCCCGUCUUCCGCUCCA